GUCCCCAUCGUCUAGCGGCCUAGGACACUGCCCUUUCAAGGCAGCAGCGCGGGUUCGAAUCCCGUUGGGGAUGCCA
RNAcentral lists this transfer RNA (76 nucleotides) under Propionicimonas paludicola. Its description in RNAcentral is "tRNA-Glu". It matches the Rfam family "tRNA". From Rfam's summary of the family: Transfer RNA (tRNA) molecules are approximately 80 nucleotides in length. Their secondary structure includes four short double-helical elements and three loops (D, anti-codon, and T loops). Further hydrogen bonds mediate the characteristic L-shaped molecular structure. tRNAs have two regions of fundamental functional importance: the anti-codon, which is responsible for specific mRNA codon recognition, and the 3' end, to which the tRNAs corresponding amino acid is attached (by aminoacyl-tRNA synthetases). tRNAs cope with the degeneracy of the genetic code in two manners: having more than one tRNA (with a specific anti-codon) for a particular amino acid; and 'wobble' base-pairing, i.e. permitting non-standard base-pairing at the 3rd anti-codon position. The record is from RNAcentral. Lineage: Bacteria; Bacillati; Actinomycetota; Actinomycetes; Propionibacteriales; Nocardioidaceae.